Molecule: ribosomal RNA, 392 nt
Filed under: uncultured bacterium
Lineage: Bacteria
Description: partial 16S ribosomal RNA
Rfam family: Bacterial small subunit ribosomal RNA
Source: RNAcentral
AUACGUAGGGUGCGAGCGUUAUCCGGAUUUAUUGGGUUUAAAGGGAGCGUAGGCGGGAGCUUAAGUCAGCGGUUAAAUGGUGCGGCUCAACCGUGCCCUGCCGUUGAAACUGGGUUUCUUGAGAGUGCAAGAGGCGGAUGGAAUUCAUGGUGUAGCGGGGAAAUGCUUAGAUAUCAUGAAGAACUCCGAUUGCGAAGGCAGUCCGCUGGGGCACGUCUGACGCUGAUGCUCGAAGGUGCGGGAAUCAAACAGGAUUAGAUACCCUGGUAGUCCGCACGGUAAACGAUGAUUACCCGCUGUCGGCGGCAGACAGUCGGCGGCCAAGCGAAAGCGAUAAGUAAUCCACCUGGGGAGUACGCCGGCAACGGUGAAACUCAAAGGAAUUGACGGGG